AGGAGACCAAGAGGGAAGGGUGAUGGAGAAAGCACAGGUUGAAGUUCUCGUCUUCCUUCCAACAGAAUCUCAGUUGCAUUCAGUUGUUGCCCCCCUCGAACCUCCCUUGAGCCUCAGGAGAAACCACCCUGAUUCAGAGGUCCAGAGAAGACCUGACUAGCCCAAGGUAAUUCCAUCCCCUUGCCAGAAUGGCUUGGACAGGGACAGGCGACCCAUUUCAAUGAGGCCAAUGAGACAAAGGUAUUUCUGCUGGGGAGGCAGGGGCUUCAAGCAAAGUGUCUUGCUUGAAAGGGAGAGCCACCGGAAGAGGCCUCUCUCCUUCCUUAGGGUGUCACAGUGUCUGGACGCGAUGCCUGGAAGUGCUACAGCCACUCGCACCCAGCCUGAAGACGAAACCAACCCCAAACACAGCCAAGCAGAGAGAUGGAAAGAACUAAGACCCUAAUUACACCACUGAGCAGCUAUAGCAACCAGUCCCAGAGCCCUCUGACUUCCCGCCAAAGUGAGAUGAUAAGAUACUGUUUAAUUUCUCUCUUUUAUAGCCAAACGCACCAAAAUUGACACAGAGAUGUGAGCCAUACCUACUGCUGUUACUGCUCCAUCCCUAGUUCCAACCACAGUGCAUGGUACAUGGUAGAGAGCCAACAAACACUUGAAGAAUGAAUGGUGCAUAUUGAGUGGGAUUUUCCAGAGGCAGACCUGGAGACAAGGCUUCAAGUGCAUGUGUUGUAUUAAGGAAAUGCUCCCAGGGGACAAUAACAGAGUGGCAGAAAUGGGACAAGGGGGCCAGGGAGCCAAGCACAGAGAAUCAAUCAUCUAAACAGAGCCCCCUGGUUUUUGUUUCACCUGAGAGUAGCUUCCAACAGCUCAGCGUUGCCCCUGAGGCAAGGGAGCUGGGCUUUCCUAAUCCUCCACUCCUCAGUCUCUGGCUAAGCGCUGUCCCCAGGGGACUUAAUCACCCAAGCACUUCCCCAAGAGUGGCACCUGCUGACCACUGGAGGCACUGGUACAGUGAAGCGACAGAAGGGAUCAGAGAGGGUCCAGGUGAGGCACAGCAAUGUGGCUGAAUAAUAACUAUAUUAACUCAUAUAGUUAAUUCUCAAGCAAUGGCAAAGUGUAGGCAGCUUCUUGUCUGCAAAUGUUUCCACAAUAUCUCUCCUGCAGCCAGGGUCUUUUCCUGCUGCCUACACAGAAUGGCCAUGGAGCAUUCCCAACUCUUAUUAAAGUGGAAAAAAAAAGCCUUUGCAUUUCAAUCUAUUAUUGCACUUUAUGACUCAUCUCCAGGUUCUCGCUGCAAAACAUUGAAAGCCAGAUCAUAAUUUGAUGAUGAAAUAUUGAUUAUGCAUUUGUAUGCAGAGGUCUAUACUAUAUAGAUAGAAUUCCCACCCUGUAGUAUCUUCUAUUUUAAGUCAAUAUGAAGAUGGAUGUUCCCCCCAGGCAAAUUUUGAUAAGAUACUUGUGUCAAUACAAAAAUAGAUUAAUGCCAAUGUGAAUCAAUACCGUUUAUUGGUUUGGAUUGCUUCUUUUCCACCCAGGAGCUGGCUCCAAGAGGAGUUUCCAAACACCAGCAGCUCCCAGCCAAUCUGCAUAUUUCUUUAUUUAAAUCAUGAGAGUGGGAAGUGGCAAGGGAAUGGUGGGUUGGCAGGGGGCUGCCCACACCCACUUCCAAAUUGAGAAGCGAAUGAAAAUAAAACAAACGCAACUUGUCAACAAAUCUGGGAGAAGCUUUAUUACCAUCAUUAGCAGUGUGCUUGUCCUCUGCUGCUUCCAAAAAGAAUAAACUUAAAAUGAC
RNAcentral lists this long non-coding RNA (1792 nucleotides) under Pongo abelii (Sumatran orangutan). RNAcentral's name for it is "lincRNA". Lineage: Eukaryota; Metazoa; Chordata; Mammalia; Primates; Hominidae. The record is from RNAcentral.